AGAUGUUGGGUUAAGUCCCGUAACGAGCGCAACCCUUGUCCUUAGUUACCAGCACGUUAUGGUGGGCACUCUAAGGAGACUGCCGGUGACAAACCGGAGGAAGGUGGGGAUGACGUCAAGUCAUCAUGGCCCUUACGGCCUGGGCUACACACGUGCUACAAUGGUCGGUACAAAGGGUUGCCAAGCCGCGAGGUGGAGCUAAUCCCAUAAAACCGAUCGUAGUCCGGAUCGCAGUCUGCAACUCGACUGCGUGAAGUCGGAAUCGCUAGUAAUCGUGAAAUCAGAAUGUCACGGUGAAUACGUUCCCGGGCCUU
Molecule: ribosomal RNA, 314 nt
Filed under: uncultured Pseudomonas sp.
Lineage: Bacteria; Pseudomonadati; Pseudomonadota; Gammaproteobacteria; Pseudomonadales; Pseudomonadaceae
Description: bacterial SSU rRNA
Rfam family: Bacterial small subunit ribosomal RNA
Source: RNAcentral